CCGCGAAGGAACCAAAUUGCUACCGGGUUCUUUGCUCCGGUGGCAACAUUUCCCUCCGGACCUUUCCGAGUGCAGCAAGACCCUCACCAUGAGACUGGAGAGACAACUUAGCCAUUAGAGGCUCUUGUGGAAGACCCAGGUCCAACAUCCACAUGGUGCCUUGCCAUCUGAUACUCCAGGACAACUGUUGCCCUUUCUGGCCUUUAUGAGCCCCAGGAAUGCAAAUGGCAUCACUGUUUGGCUUCAAACUCCUCAUCUGUCUCGUGUGACCUAUGAGAAUACCAGCGAAUGAAACAGACAGCAGCGGCGGCGGCGGGGCUGGGAACUGAGACACAGCUGCACCUGCGGUACAGUGGCGAGCAUGACAGUGACCACAGUGCACUGACUGAGGCUGAAGAGAAGCCGGUGUGAGCUCGAGGGUGUACAGCAGUUUGUGAGGGUCAGACUCACCCCAACUCCAAUUUUCUUAUAGACUUUUUGUUGUUGUUGUUUUUUUGGAUUUUUUUUUUCCAAAGCAAAUGCAAGACUUCUCUUGAGGACACACUAAAGCCAGACUAAAGUGGAGUUGUAGAGAGACAUGGGUGUGAUGUAGGAUUAAGCAAAGCUCAUGUACUUUUGGUGUAGAAAGCACACUGUCUGGCUUUGGGGCCAAUAUCUCCAAUGCUUUUGAUUAAGAAUUUGUUUGGUGGGGUAAAAACAAACAAGAGUGAUUACCUCUGACUUUUGAAGUUCCCAGAUUUCACAUGUCUUUUUCCUGUGCUCUUUCAACACUGAAGCCAGCCUAGAUUAAGGACUCACCUUCAGACAUUACUUGUAGAGCCUGAGUUUCUAUGCAAAUAUGAGUUCACAGACCCCAUAAACCAGAUGUCUUGAAGAAGACACAAAGCUCAAAAGGAAAAAAGAAAAGCAAGUGGGAAGUCAUGUACUAAUUGUGAUACAAAUACUAAUAAAAAACCGAAAACAUAAAUAUUUUGUUAGUUGAAGUUAAAAUAUAAUUACAUCAUUUCUUUCUUCCCUUUCCUCACUCCAACCCUUCCUAUUUACACCACCCCC
Long non-coding RNA from Apodemus sylvaticus (European woodmouse), 1053 nucleotides. RefSeq lists it as uncharacterized. Lineage: Eukaryota; Metazoa; Chordata; Mammalia; Rodentia; Muridae. The record is from RefSeq and is a predicted model, not a curated record. The transcript has 3 exons.